This 446-nucleotide ribosomal RNA is filed under the name uncultured bacterium. Its description in RNAcentral is "partial 16S ribosomal RNA". It matches the Rfam family "Bacterial small subunit ribosomal RNA", at positions 338 to 795 of the family's 1533-position model. The record is from RNAcentral.
CCUACGGGAGACUGCAGUAGGGAAUUUUCGGCAAUGGGGGGAACCCUGACCGAGCAACGCCGCGUGAACGAAGAAGUUCUUCGUAAUGUAAAGUUCUUUUAACAGGGAAGAAAGAUAAAUUUGACGGUAACUGAUGAAUAAGCUCCGGCUAACUACGUGCCACCAGCCGCGGUAAUACGUAGGGAGCGAGCGUUAUCCGGAAUUAUUGGGCGUAAGGGGUGCGUAGAUGGCAUAGUAAGUCUUUGGUAAAAAUGCUGGGCUCAACCCAGUAGGGCAAAAGAUACUGCAAAGCUGGAGUAUGACAGAGGCAAGUGGAACUACAGGUGUAGCGGUAAAAUGCGUAAAUAUAUGUAAGAACACCAGUGGCGAAGGCGGCUUGCUGGGUCGAUACUGACAUUGAGGCACGAAAGCGUGGGGAGCAAACAGGAUUAGAUACCCGGGUAGUC